GAGUUUGAUCAUGGCUCAGGACGAACGCUGGCGGCGUGCCUAACACAUGCAAGUCGAGCGAUGAAGCCCUUCGGGGCUGAUUAGCGGCGGACGGGUGAGUAACACGUGGGUAACCUGCCUCAUAGAGGGGGAUAGCCUCCCGAAAGGGAGAUUAAUACCGCAUAACAUAUUUUGGUCGCAUGAUCGAAAUAUCAAAGGAGUAAUCCGCUAUGAGAUGGACCCGCGGCGCAUUAGCUAGUUGGUGAGGUAACGGCUCACCAAGGCGACGAUGCGUAGCCGACCUGAGAGGGUGAUCGGCCACAUUGGAACUGAGACACGGUCCAGACUCCUACGGGAGGCAGCAGUGGGGAAUAUUGCGCAAUGGGGGAAACCCUGACGCAGCAACGCCGCGUGAAUGAUGAAGGCCUUAGGGUUGUAAAGUUCUGUCUUCUGGGACGAUAAUGACGGUACCAGAGGAGGAAGCCACGGCUAACUACGUGCCAGCAGCCGCGGUA
Molecule: ribosomal RNA, 494 nt
Filed under: uncultured Eubacteriales bacterium
Lineage: Bacteria; Bacillati; Bacillota; Clostridia; Eubacteriales
Description: bacterial SSU rRNA
Rfam family: Bacterial small subunit ribosomal RNA
Source: RNAcentral